Long non-coding RNA from Dreissena polymorpha, 444 nucleotides. RefSeq lists it as uncharacterized. The transcript has 3 exons. The record is from RefSeq and is a predicted model, not a curated record. Lineage: Eukaryota; Metazoa; Mollusca; Bivalvia; Myida; Dreissenidae.
UAAACUUGUUGUUAAAAUGAAGUUAAUGUAAUGUUCACAAACAGUAGAGUUAAUGAGUUUUUCCAUUAACAAGAAUUUCUUAAAAUAAUAAUGUAUGGAUAUCAUUUGGAAAGUGACAUGAAAUAUUGUUAAAAAGUGAUGCAUACAAGUGUUUCAGAAGUCUGUCUAGGAAUAGAACAACAACUGAAGCUGACCAGUUGAUGGAAGAUACUGCAGAGUUUGGCAGGGAAAUAACCCAAGACAGCAAAGCGGCUCUUUUGGCGCAUUUACCAAGAGGACUAACAUGGCCACAAAUUCAUGAGAUCAUGCAGGAGCCGUACAGUAUAACAGCAGUACAAGUUCUAUAAAAGAUCCACGACCUACUGAAGCCCAGCUAAUUAACAAAAAAGUUUUUAAAAACUGUAAUUUUAUCCCACAUGGGUACUUAUAAUUUACUAAGCUGCC